This 67-nucleotide transfer RNA is filed under the name Cephenemyia stimulator. RNAcentral's name for it is "tRNA-Phe". Lineage: Eukaryota; Metazoa; Arthropoda; Insecta; Diptera; Oestridae. The record is from RNAcentral.
AUUCAAAUAGCUUAAAAGUAAGAGUAUAAUAUUGAAGAUAUUAGGGUGAUUAAUUAAUCUUUGAAUA